UUGGACAGCCUUCUGAAAGGAAGAUUAAUACAAGAUGGCAUCAUGAGUCCGCAUGUUCACAUGAUUAAAGGUAUUCCGGUAGACGAUGGGGAUGCGUUCCAUUAGAUAGUAGGCGGGGUAACGGCCCACCUAGUCUUCGAUGGAUAGGGGUUCUGAGAGGAAGGUCCCCCACAUUGGAACUGAGACACGGUCCAAACUCCUACGGGAGGCAGCAGUGAGGAAUAUUGGUCAAUGGGCGAGAGUCUGAACCAGCCAAGUAGCGUGAAGGAUGACUGCCCUAUGGGUUGUAAACUUCUUUUAUAAAGGAAUAAAGUCGGGUAUGGAUACCCGUUUGCAUGUACUUUAUGAAUAAGGAUCGGCUAACUCCGUGCCAGCAGCCGCGGUAAUACGGAGGAUCCGAGCGUUAUCCGGAUUUAUUGGGUUUAAAGGGAGCGUA
RNAcentral lists this ribosomal RNA (436 nucleotides) under uncultured bacterium. RNAcentral describes it as "bacterial SSU rRNA". It matches the Rfam family "Bacterial small subunit ribosomal RNA", at positions 139 to 573 of the family's 1533-position model. The record is from RNAcentral.